This 5060-nucleotide long non-coding RNA is filed under the name Sus scrofa (pig). RNAcentral's name for it is "lncRNA (ENSSSCG00015056320.1)". The record is from RNAcentral. Lineage: Eukaryota; Metazoa; Chordata; Mammalia; Artiodactyla; Suidae.
UUUUUUUUUUUUUUUGCACAUGCUAGCAAAUGCCAGCAAUUCUUCUGCAAUAAGAGCCAGGUACAAAGCAGUAACCAGGGCACUGAUUAUAACGGAGAAAAUUAGAAACAAACACCUAUAGGACUUUGGUUAGUUAUGGACCACUCACACCAUAUAAUCAGAAAUUAUGAGGCUGUUAAAAAAAAAAAAGGAGGGAGAGAUAGUUCCCCAAAUACUAAUAGAAAAAGGCAUAUAUAUUGCAUGAAAAAAAGCACAAAAAUAUUUAUAAUAUGAACCCAUUUUUAAGAAUUACAAAUACACAUAUUCUGAUACACACGCACAAAAUUCUGGACUGCUUUCCACGCUGAGCAAGGUUCGCAGGCUCACCCUGGGGACCAGGUUGGGGGUGGUGGGUAGAGAAGGGGGGAGAUCUUUGCUUUUUGUGCAAAUAUUUCCAGUGUUGGUUUCGGGGUUUGUUUUUUUACAUGUGCACGUAUCAGUUUAGCAUUCAGUUUUUAAUGACCGCUGAGAACCGGGCGAGGGAUGGAAAAAACCUGGCCUGCUCUGGGUCAGGGUCUCCCCGUCACCCAAGGAGGGGGUGGUGGGGGGGUGGCUCCUGCAUUGGUCACAAAGGUCAGACGGGCAACUGCUCCUCCAGCACUGGGAUCUUGCAACACUCAGGUCUUAUAAUCCCAUGUGAUAGAUCUUCUCCGGUGCCGGCCAAGGAGGACACAGGGCCUGGGCAGUGCGGGGGGGAGGCAUCUGAAUGAGACGGUGGCCAAAGUGCUGGGCAAAACAGGCUCAGGUUCGAGCCUGGUCCCCUGGCUCUUCACGUAAGUCAUCAACGGAGCGCAGGGCUCGGCUGCCUCUCUUUACAUACCUGCAAGGGCCCCCUGUCCAUCCAGGUGUGUGUCUUGGUCAAAAAGAAAGCCCUGCUUUGGGGACUUCUACUUCUGCAGGGCCCCCCACCCACUCCACACAGAAACUCAUGGGGGGGGGGGGCCUAAAUAUACCUAAAUGCUCAGGAGGGCGCCUAUGGUUCGGGGCUGAGAGCUCAGCCCCGGGGGCGGCUGGUUGGUGUUCACUGCUCAGCUCUACCGCCCACUGACCGUGACCACGAGCCUCUUUCUAAUUCUCAGCCCCUCAGUACCUACAACGCGGAUGAUGCUAACAGCGCCCACCCCAGGGGAUGGUUGUGAGGCAGGACGCAAAGUACCUUUCCAAGCGCACAGGCAAACGGAAGCCAGGGGCCAGCCCUGUGGUCACAAACGGUGCCAAAGCCUGGCCCGUGAGUCAGGGCUGUCACCUGACAAUGCUUUGCAUUUGUCGACUGUUUAAACUGCACCCUCCCACAAAGCCCCAGGCCAAGAAGACUACUGGGUAAAAUUAAUACGAAAGUCGGAAGGGUCUGUUCCCAUUCCAGCAGGCUGGGAAAACAUUUCCAUUUUGUUAAAAAAUGGGAGCCGAGAUGCCACCCCAGGUUUGGCCACAUUCUGGGAUGAUGCAAGCUGACUGGCAGCAAAACUCUCUUGCCAAAGCAGCUGCCAGGGAGCGUGCCAUGUUGCGGGCCUGUCAUCCCACGACCCUUGAGGCUUCGAUCUUGCCUUCUGUAAACCAGGGGUGGACACCACGUGAGGCCAAUGAAGGCAGAGGAAGAGGUCACCACAACAGAGAAUGCGUGUGUCCAAGGAGAUGCCAGGCCCUCUGGGAACAAAGCACACGGCGUCAACACGCCCAUCCNAUGUCCCCGGAGCCCUGCGCCAGCAGCGCGUCUCAGAUGCAGGGUCUGCGGCCAGCUUUAGAAACAAACAGGCAGUCGACGCAAACCCAUGACUCUGCUCUAACAGCCUGUUGCUAGCUUUUUCUGGAAAGACCCAGCACUCAGCACCAGCAAAAAAAAAUCUAAGCUGUUGCACGCAUCCCAAACCUGCUCAGUGGGUUGAGCGACGUUAGGACCACUGGCGCGGAGAAGCAUCUCACACUGAGCCUGUCCAGUCAGUCCCACCCGGCCUCCAGCUGGACAGGGGAGGUGGCAAAGCGCCCUGGGCCACCCCCCAGCAGGCAGUGAGGGGUGCUGAGCCAACACACGCAGGUCCCGUCCCCACACGCCAGGCACUCUGUCCCAAGCACCCCGUCUUCCCUCCACCAAAGCUCGCACACACAUGUGCGCGCACACCGCCCCCCACAACGAAGACAAGCAUCAGAAAACAAUACCACACCUAAGAUGAGCACGCCCUGGUAUUCUCUUUUCUAUUUUGUUUCACUUCUUAAAAAGCACUGAUGGGCCUACAAGACUGAUUUUCGGACCCGUGGAUUGGAAGCUGCGCUGGGAAAAAUUCUAGCUGAUGGCCAGCCCCGGGGCUCCCUGCAGCAGAAACACAGAUUCCUCAAAAUACUCCAGCUGCACACACCCCAGCCCCAAGGCCAGGGGCUGCUCACUUCUUGUUUGUUGAAUAAAGGGUGGGGAGAAGGGGCGGGGGUGGGGGGAACAUGGGAAGAGGAAGAAGCCCAGGCACGCACAGGGAAGGGGGGAGGACACGGGAAGGAGGGGGCAGGUCACAAGCUCCCUGAUGGCCCCCAAGUCGGGAGCCUCCUCCCCCCCGCCCCCCGCCUCGUGGUUCCACGAGGCUCCAAGCGGAACCCCCCCCCGGGGGGGGGGCAGAGUCCCCAGCACCCUGGGGCAGCCCUAAUCAAGGCAUCCCCUAAGCUGGACCCGCUGCCCGGCAGGAAGGCAGGCGUCGGGCCGGCUCUCUCUCUCCCACUCUCAGCUCACAGCCUAGAGAGCUCCCAUUUCACAAACAGCCAUCAGAUAGGCUCCUGGAGUCGGCUCCACAUUAGGAAUCUGUCAAAUCACUGAUGGGCUGGUCCCGGCUCUGCCCAGCUUUUCACAAAUCCCAUUCUGAUUUCAAGUGAGUGCGCUUAUAAACGGGGCUCAGGGAAACCUUGGCCCAUCACCCGCGCCCCCCAAGGAACCCACCCCAAGGCUGCCCGUGCGAUCGUGCACCACAGCCUCACGUGUUCCUUGUUCCUCGUCAUCUCACCAGCUCCAAGUUCUCAGGCCUCGGUGACACUGAGGAAGUGUGACCAGCAAACAGGUCAAACCGCCAGCCUCAGCGUCCCCACUGGAUCGCUGUCUUCUAGGUGUUUCUCAAAAUGCUCCAAAAGCCACCGCCACCCCAACAGACCUUCCCCAGAAGGUGGAAUGUGCUGCCUGCAGCCCUCAGCCCCCCACCCCCACCCCGCCGUGGGCACACCUGCCCAAGUCAACUCAUCUCAAUUAGGCGCCUGUUAGAAUUUGAAUCCAGAAGAGAAAGGAUGCAGGUGAGGCCAACUCAGUGUGAGACAGGGUCGCACAGGGAUGACUGACAGCCCGGAUGACUGACAGCCCAGGACUGUCCCCAGGCUACAAAUAGCCCUCCUCACUGGCACCCUGUGUUCCUCCCUUAAAAUAACAGUGACCACAGUGACCCCUGUUUCAUCGCAGGGGCUCCUGAGUAUCUCAGUUAACUUUUACAAUUGCUUUUACAAUAACUUGUGAAGGGGAGCGAUUAUCUCUUCAUUUCAUAGAAGAAAGCGACGCUCCGAAUUUGUCAUUGGCCCAAAUUAGAGGUGAAAACUACAAAGCCAAGUUCUCUGUACCAGCCCGGGUGCCCCACCGGCCAUGGUGGCCUCAGGCCUUCCUGUGAAAUAUCUUUCCAUCACCUGCCCUCCCCUUCCCUCUGGUCCAGGGCCCUGAACACAGACUUCCUUCUGUGAGGCCAGCCACCUGCCCUUCCCCAGGGCAGACUUGUUCUCCUCACCUUUCCUGGGUCCACUCAAGAGGCUCAGGACCAGGAGAUCCGUCAGUCCCCCACUUGAACGCCCAAGUGCUCUCGGAGCAACAGGACUCAGCAGGUCUGUCCCCUGCAGCCUGCUCCUUCCCAGAGGGCUGAGAUCUUUGAUGCUGGAGACCCGGGUUGGUGAAGGCACUCGGACGAGGCCCCAGGGCAAACUAAGGCAGACCUCAGAGGAGAGCCCACGCCUGCAGACCCUAUAAGGUCAGGUCCAGGUCUCUGCCCAGGCCUGGCUUCGGAACAAAUGGCCCUACACACAGACAGGCAUAAAAGUUCCAAAACAAACACUCAGAGACAAAAAUGCUCAAUGAUAAAACAGAUGUUAGCAAAUACAAAGCAUUAUCCAAAUACAAACCAUACGACAAACAGAUCUUCCAACAUUUCUGGGGGGAAGAACUGUUACGUGUGCGUUUAUGUCUCCAUUACUAUGCAUUCGUCAAUUGCUUACUUUCAUUCAUAAGACCCAAAUUACUGAACAGGGGAUAAACAGCAAAUUUCACCAUCCCCUCCCACGACCCGCCGCCUCCCACGAAAACAUUGUUAGAGGCUCUUCUUUCCCAAACACCCCCACUCUCCCGGGGAAACUGCUGGGUUCUAAAAACUCUGAAUCAAUACUGCCAGUUGUUUUAAUCAAGUUUCCUGUUUCGUGGUCACAACUAGGUUGACAUCUGCUUUGUCCACGACUGCCCUCCACCCAGGUAACCAGCCAGUUAUCUAUUUAUCUACACACUGGGGCUCCGUGGCACUUAAAAGUUACCUCAAAAACCCUACGUUUCAUCCCACUUUUUCCUGGCCUUCCCCAAAGGAAAUUAUUUGCAAGGGGAUCUGAUGGAAGGCCUAGCACCCAUCAAGCUGCAGGAAAGGUGCACAGAGCCUGGCAAAGGAGAGACCUGACUGUAAUCUGACAACCGAGAUUCCGACCCGGGGCUCAGCCGGCUGCCCGGCGGCUGUGUGACCUUGGGCUCGUAAAUCUCGCUGAGCCUCAGUUUCCUCAACAGCAAAGCAGGAAUCCUAAUACCACCACCGUCCCCGGAAUAGUUUCAUAAAUGUCCCCGGCGCUGAGCAGGGACUGCUCGCCGCGCGGGGAGAAGCCACCCGUCCUCCCAGGACGGUGCUAGUCUCGAGGUCCAGGGAUCCCGCGGCCGCCCCUCCAGUCAACCAGGCCGGUCAAGGUCAGCCCUGCAGGAGAAGGCCCGAGGGAUGCUCACGAGGCCGCCGGGCCCCGAGACCUGUUUCUCCGCCUCCCUC